GCGGCCGUGGUCUAGCCUGGUUAAGACUCAGGCCCUCCAACAUCACGGGGGAAAGCCUGAUACGCGGGUUCAAAUCCCGCCGGCCGCA
This 88-nucleotide transfer RNA is filed under the name candidate division MSBL1 archaeon SCGC-AAA261C02. RNAcentral describes it as "candidate divison MSBL1 archaeon SCGC-AAA261C02 tRNA". It matches the Rfam family "tRNA". From Rfam's summary of the family: Transfer RNA (tRNA) molecules are approximately 80 nucleotides in length. Their secondary structure includes four short double-helical elements and three loops (D, anti-codon, and T loops). Further hydrogen bonds mediate the characteristic L-shaped molecular structure. tRNAs have two regions of fundamental functional importance: the anti-codon, which is responsible for specific mRNA codon recognition, and the 3' end, to which the tRNAs corresponding amino acid is attached (by aminoacyl-tRNA synthetases). tRNAs cope with the degeneracy of the genetic code in two manners: having more than one tRNA (with a specific anti-codon) for a particular amino acid; and 'wobble' base-pairing, i.e. permitting non-standard base-pairing at the 3rd anti-codon position. The record is from Rfam by way of RNAcentral. Lineage: Archaea; Methanobacteriati; Methanobacteriota.